GCUACGAACGGAGUCCGAUACGCACCAGAAGCCAACUCUACUCCGUGGCUUCUCCGGAAAACCGGAGUUACUAUUCACUUAAGUGAAAACUGCAAAUCGCAUAUCUUCUCCGUUUUAGCUCAUUUUCUCCUGAAACUUGACGAGUGCUUAUGUAAUUAAAUUACACACAUAAACAUCAUCAACUGAGAGUUUAUCUGUACUGUAAAAUUCUCAGUCCUUACACUAGCGAGGAGCGUUUCUUUUGCGUUUUGGUAGUUCAUUCUCCUUUUGUUGUAGUGGAGUGAGAGAGAGUUGUGUUGGUACCUUGUAUAGAGAGACCACCUAUGUAUCCAGUUUAGUAUUUGUACUUUGGAUAUUUAUUGUACUACUUCCUGUUUUUACUUAGUGGAUUUAACUUUAUGUUCAUUUCGGUUAUUGUAGCAUCUAGAUAUACUUGCUCUGAUACUGCUAGAUGUUCUCUUUAUCUUGCCUUAUUUAUCGUUUUAUUUUAGACGCCUUAUAUGUUUUAGACGUAUGGCGGGUCUGGGCACGUGCCGGGCGGGCUUCCACUGGGUCCCGGGGCGUGACAAUAAAUCUUCAACCUUAGCUCAUUCCUAGUUUGGUUUGAAGCUUGUUUAGAGGUUAGUAACUUAGAUCUUCUCUUUAAAUCUUGUUUUGGUGGAUUUUUUUGAUGAAAACCUAGAAAUGAGAAAUUUAGGAUUUUAUUUGGGGAUUUUUGAUUUGUACCUUUUGGGGUUUAAUUGAUGCGUGUAGAAUUUCCUUUUAGGUGGGAUUAGAAGUAUUCUAGCUUCCAUUUGGAGUUUGGAAGAGCUUCUACACCAUCUAGGGUGAGUUUUGACCUCUUUAUAGGUUGGUUAAAGAUUAGCUUGUGGGGUAUUCGUUCAUUGCCCUCCUAACCCUCUCAGAAUUUUAUUUAGGGAGCUAGAAGACUAGUGGACAUCCUCGUUCGCGCAAAUGAAGGGGAUACGAGGAGUUCUCGGUGGGUUUGACCUCACCGAAAUGGGUGAACUCCCUCUAUGUUAUAUUCUUUAUUGUAAAAAUAGAAAAUCAUGCAUAUCAUGAUAGAUAGAGUAUAAUGAAAUUUUAGAAUGCAUAAAAUGCAUAUGUCAUAUAUCAUGUUGUAUGGUCUCUAUGUAGUAGGGAGAGAAUUGCAUAGUAAAUUGCAUGUGAAUUGGCAUUCUCUUGAUAUGGUAGAAAUCAUGAUGUAUGUAGUGAUAUGACAAGUUUUUACUUGCUUAUGAACAA
Molecule: long non-coding RNA, 1245 nt
Filed under: Ananas comosus (pineapple)
Lineage: Eukaryota; Viridiplantae; Streptophyta; Magnoliopsida; Poales; Bromeliaceae
Description: long non-coding RNA (ACOM_LNC024304)
Source: RNAcentral